Molecule: non-coding RNA, 107 nt
Organism: Gossypium arboreum
Lineage: Eukaryota; Viridiplantae; Streptophyta; Magnoliopsida; Malvales; Malvaceae
Source: Rfam
AAUCGGUGGUACGAACAUUUUUGAAUCAAAGUUUUGAAGCGUUCCCACGCCUCAGAGAAACUUUCUCCUUUCAUUUAUCUAAAGAUAGCAAUCUCUCUUCUUAGUUG